Molecule: ribosomal RNA, 492 nt
Filed under: uncultured bacterium
Lineage: Bacteria
Description: bacterial SSU rRNA
Rfam family: Bacterial small subunit ribosomal RNA
Source: RNAcentral
GAUGAACGCUAGCGGCAGGCUUAAUACAUGCAAGUCGAGGGGCAGCAUGGUGUACCAAUACACUGAUGGCGACCGGCAAACGGGUGCGGAACACGUGUGCAACCUACCUUUAUCUGGAGGAUAGCCUUUCAAAAGGAAAAUUAAUACUCCAUAAUAUAUUGAAUGGCAUCAUUUGGUAUUGAAAGCUCCGGCGGAUAAAGAUGGGCACGCGCAAAAUUAGCUAGUUGGUGAGGUAACGGCUCACCAAGGCAAUGAUCUUUAGGGGGCCUGAGAGGGUGAUCCCCCACACUGGUACUGAAACACGGACCAAACUCCUACGGGAGGCAGCAGUGAGGAAUAUUGAACAAUGGGUGCAAGCCUGAUCCACCCAUCCCGCGUGAAGGACAACGGCCCUAUGGGUUGUAAACUUCUUUUGUAUAGGGAUAAACCUACCCUCGUGAGGGUAGCUGAAGGUACUAUACAAAUAAGCACCGGCUAACUCCGUGCCAGCAC